UUGAACGCUGGCGGCAUGCCUUACACAUGCAAGUCGAACGGCAGCACGGGAGCAAGUCCUGGUGGCGAGUGGCGAACGGGUGAGUAAUAUAUCGGAACGUGCCCAGUCGUGGGGGAUAACGUAGCGAAAGCUACGCUAAUACCGCAUACGAUCUAUGGAUGAAAGCGGGGGAUCGCAAGACCUCGCGCGAUUGGAGCGGCCGAUAUCAGAUUAGGUAGUUGGUGAGGUAAAGGCUCACCAAGCCGACGAUCUGUAGCUGGUCUGAGAGGACGACCAGCCACACUGGGACUGAGACACGGCCCCAGACUCCUACGGGAGGCAGCAGUGGGGAAUUUUGGACAAUGGGCGCAAGCCUGAUCCAGCAAUGCCGCGUGCAGGAUGAAGGCCUUCGGGUUGUAAACUGCUUUUGUACGGAACGAAACGGUGAGCUCUAAUACAGUUUGCUAAUGACGGUACCGUAAGAAUAAGCACCGGCUAACUACGUG
This 485-nucleotide ribosomal RNA is filed under the name uncultured bacterium. RNAcentral's name for it is "bacterial SSU rRNA". It matches the Rfam family "Bacterial small subunit ribosomal RNA", at positions 30 to 507 of the family's 1533-position model. The record is from RNAcentral.